RNAcentral lists this ribosomal RNA (399 nucleotides) under uncultured bacterium. RNAcentral's name for it is "bacterial SSU rRNA". It matches the Rfam family "Bacterial small subunit ribosomal RNA", at positions 30 to 426 of the family's 1533-position model. The record is from RNAcentral.
AUUGAACGCUGGCGGCAUGCUUUACACAUGCAAGUCGAACGGCAGCGCGGGGGCAACCCUGGCGGCGAGUGGCGAACGGGUGAGUAAUAUAUCGGAACGUACCCAGAAGUGGGGGAUAACGUAGCGAAAGUUACGCUAAUACCGCAUACGAUCUACGGAUGAAAGUGGGGGACCUUCGGGCCUCAUGCUUUUGGAGCGGCCGAUAUCUGAUUAGCUAGUUGGUGAGGUAAAGGCUCACCAAGGCGACGAUCAGUAGCUGGUCUGAGAGGACGACCAGCCACACUGGAACUGAGACACGGUCCAGACUCCUACGGGAGGCAGCAGUGGGGGAAUUUUGGGACAAUGGGGGGCAACCCUGAUCCAGCAAUGCCGCGUGAGUGAAGAAGGCCUUCGGGUUGU